Molecule: ribosomal RNA, 620 nt
Filed under: uncultured bacterium
Lineage: Bacteria
Description: bacterial SSU rRNA
Rfam family: Bacterial small subunit ribosomal RNA
Source: RNAcentral
CCUACGGGAGGCAGCAGUGGGGAAUUUUGGACAAUGGGGGCAACCCUGAUCCAGCCAUGCCGCGUGAGUGAAGAAGGCCUUCGGGUUGUAAAGCUCUUUCGGCCGGAACGAAAUCGCGCACGUGAAUAACGUGCGUGGAUGACGGUACCGGAGUAAGAAGCACCGGCUAACUACGUGCCAGCAGCCGCGGUAAUACGUAGGGUGCGAGCGUUAAUCGGAAUUACUGGGCGUAAAGCGUGCGCAGGCGGUUCGCUAAGUCAGACGUGAAAGCCCCGGGCUUAACCUGGGAACGGCGUUUGAAACUGGCGGGCUCGAGUACGGCAGAGGGGGGUGGAAUUCCACGUGUAGCAGUGAAAUGCGUAGAUAUGUGGAGGAACACCGAUGGCGAAGGCAGCCCCCUGGGCCGAUACUGACGCUCAUGCACGAAAGCGUGGGGAGCAAACAGGAUUAGAUACCCUGGUAGUCCACGCCCUAAACUAUGUCAACUAGUUGUCGGGGAAGCAAUUCCUUGGUAACGCAGCUAACGCGUGAAGUUGACCGCCUGGGGAUACGGUCGCAAGAUUAAAACUCAAAGUAGUAAGUGGACGUGAGAGAGCGACGACGACGACGACGGAGGAGAG